CUACGCACUCCUACGGGAGGCAGCAUGGGGAAUAUUGCACAAUGGGCGCAAGCCUGAUGCAGCCAUGCCGCGUGUAUGAAGAAGGCCUUCGGGUUGUAAAGUACUUUCAGCAAUGAGGAAGGUGGGUAUGUUAAUAGCAUAUUCAUUUGACGUUAGCUGCAGAAGAAGCACCGGCUAACUCCGUGCCAGCAGCCGCGGUAAUACGGAGGGUGCGAGCGUUAAUCGGAAUUACUGGGCGUAAAGCGCAUGCAGGUGGUUUGUUAAGUCAGAUGUGAAAGCCCGGGGCUCAACCUCGGAAUUUGCAUUUGAAACUGGCAAACUAGAGUACUGUAGAGGGGGUAGAAUUUCAGGUGUAGCGGUGAAAUGCGUAGAGAUCUGAAGGAAUACCGGUGGCGAAGGCGGCCCCCUGGACAGAUACUGACACUCAGAUGCGAAAGCGUGGGGAGCAAACAGGAUUAGAUACCCUGGUAG
RNAcentral lists this ribosomal RNA (471 nucleotides) under uncultured bacterium. Its description in RNAcentral is "bacterial SSU rRNA". It matches the Rfam family "Bacterial small subunit ribosomal RNA", at positions 329 to 793 of the family's 1533-position model. The record is from RNAcentral.